RNAcentral lists this ribosomal RNA (378 nucleotides) under uncultured bacterium. Its description in RNAcentral is "bacterial SSU rRNA". It matches the Rfam family "Bacterial small subunit ribosomal RNA", at positions 9 to 369 of the family's 1533-position model. The record is from RNAcentral.
GAGUUUGAUCGUGGCUCAGGACGAACGCUGGCGGCGCGCCUAACACAUGCAAGUCGAACGGAGCAUACGGGAGGAAGUUUUCGGAUGGAAUCCGGUAUUGCUUAGUGGCGGACGGGUGAGUAACACGUGAGCAACCUGCCUAUCAGAGGGGGAUAACGAUUGGAAACGAUCGCUAAUACCGCAUAACGCAGCGAGGAGGCAUCUUCUUGCUGCCAAAGAUUUAUCGCUGAUAGAUGGGCUCGCGUCCGAUUAGAUAGUUGGUGAGGUAACGGCCCACCAAGUCGACGAUCGGUAGCCGGACUGAGAGGUCGAACGGCCACAUUGGGACUGAGACACGGCCCAGACUCCUACGGGAGGCAGCAGUGGGGGAUAUUGCAC